AUUGAACGCUGGCGGCAGGCUUAACACAUGCAAGUCGAGCGGAGAGAGGUAGCUUGCUACUGAUCUUAGCGGCGGACGGGUGAGUAAUGCUUAGGAAUCUGCCUAUUAGUGGGGGACAACAUUUCGAAAGGAAUGCUAAUACCGCAUACGUCCUACGGGAGAAAGCAGGGGAUCUUCGGACCUUGCGCUAAUAGAUGAGCCUAAGUCGGGUUAGCUAGUUGGUGGGGUAAAGGCCUACAAAGGCGACGAUCUGUAGCGGGUCUGAGAGGAUGAUCCGCCAGACUGGGACUGAGACACGGCCCAGAAUCCUACGGGAGGCAGCAGUGGGGAAUAUUGGACAAUGGGCGGAAGCCUGAUCCAGCCAUGCCGCGUGUGUGAAGAAGGCCUGAUGGUUGUAAAGCACUUUAAGCGAGGAGGAGGCUACUUUAGUUAAUACCUAGAGAUAGUGGACGUUACUCGCAGAAUAAGCACCGGCUAACUCUGUGCCAGCCGCCGCCGUAA
Molecule: ribosomal RNA, 501 nt
Filed under: uncultured bacterium
Lineage: Bacteria
Description: partial 16S ribosomal RNA
Rfam family: Bacterial small subunit ribosomal RNA
Source: RNAcentral